UUAAAUUGAAGAGUUUGAUCAUGGCUCAGAUUGAACGCUGGCGGCAGGCCUAACACAUGCAAGUCGAACGGUAACAGAAAGCAGCUUGCUGCUUUGCUGACGAGUGGCGGACGGGUGAGUAAUGUCUGGGAAACUGCCUGAUGGAGGGGGAUAACUACUGGAAACGGUAGCUAAUACCGCAUAACGUCGCAAGACCAAAGAGGGGGACCUUCGGGCCUCUUGCCAUCGGAUGUGCCCAGAUGGGAUUAGCUUGUU
RNAcentral lists this ribosomal RNA (255 nucleotides) under Escherichia coli. RNAcentral describes it as "partial 16S ribosomal RNA". It matches the Rfam family "Bacterial small subunit ribosomal RNA", at positions 1 to 250 of the family's 1533-position model. Lineage: Bacteria; Pseudomonadati; Pseudomonadota; Gammaproteobacteria; Enterobacterales; Enterobacteriaceae. The record is from RNAcentral.